This is a long non-coding RNA of Pyrus x bretschneideri (Chinese white pear), 219 nucleotides long. RefSeq lists it as uncharacterized. NCBI's taxonomy places the organism in Eukaryota, Viridiplantae, Streptophyta, Magnoliopsida, Rosales, Rosaceae. The record is from RefSeq and is a predicted model, not a curated record. The transcript has 2 exons.
CUCCCCGUUUUAUUAGGGUUUCGAAUGGAGACACAGAGAGCAGCGCCGAGAGAAGUUGCAGACUCUCUUAGAUUUUAUCAUACCCUGAUGCUGAUGGAUGCAUUUUCAAUAACACGAACACGGUCCAAGUCGAAUUGCUGCUGCUACAACCAUGCUUAGAUGGAAGCUUGCUUAAUUUAUGAACAAAAAAAAAAUGUUAAUAGUUAAAUUAUUAAUAUA